CAAGUUUCAAACUCUAAAAAAUCAAAGAUGAUGAUAAUAGACUUAGAGUUUUCUACUCUACUCAUUUGCCUUGUUCCAUUCCUUUUUAUCUUCUUCAUCAAUCUUUUCCAUUCCAAAUCAACCAAAAUCCCAAAAUCUUAUCCAAUCAUUGGUUCAUAUUUCUCAAUUUUAGCAAACAAACAUCGUCGGAUUCAAUGGAGUUCUGAUAUAAUUCAGACAACUACCAAUCUUACUUUCACUCUCAUUCGUCCUUUCGGUAAUCGCCAAAUCUUUACUGCAAAUCCAUCGAAUGUUCAAUACAUGCUCAAAACUCAUUUUCAUAUUUAUCAAAAAGGUCAUAUGUUUAAAUCAACCAUGGCUGAUUUUCUUGGUGAUGGUAUUUUUAAUGUGGAUGGUGAAAUCUGGAAGUACCAACGACAAGUUGCUAGUCAUGAAUUCAAUACUAAAUCUCUACGAAAAUUCGUCGAAACUGUCGUAGAUGCUGAACUUAACGAACGUCUGAUUCCACUUCUUGCUGUUGCUGCUUCUGAGAAAAAAGUUGUUGAUCUCCAAGACAUAUUACAGAGGUUUGCUUUCGAUAACAUUUGCAAAAUUGCGUUUGGAUAUGAUCCUGCUUAUCUAUCGCCAUCUCUACCACAAGAGAAAUUCGCAGUUGCUUUUGAAGAAGCUGUUAAAUUAAGCAGUGAAAGAUUCAAUGCUAUUUUCCCCUUUUUAUGGAAGAUUAAAAGACAUUUCGAUUUCGGAAGUGAAAAGAGAUUCAGAAUCGCUGUAGAUGAAGUUCGUCAAUUUGCGAAACAGCUCGCUAGAGAAAAACAGAGUGAACUAAAUCAAAAAUCAUCUCUCGAUUCAGUAGAUCUAUUAUCCAGAUUCUUAAGCGUUGGUCAUAGAGACGACGAUUUCGUUACAGAUGUAGUUAUUAGUUUCAUAUUAGCAGGUCGUGACACAACAUCAGCUGCAUUAACUUGGUUCUUCUGGUUAAUCUCGGAACACCCUGUGGUGGAAAGUUCAAUUCUAAACGAAAUCAAAUUAAAAUCCCACACGCCAGUAUACGAAGAAGUGAAAGAGAUGAUAUACACACAUGCUUCACUUUGCGAAAGCAUGAGGUUUUAUCCACCAGUACCAAUUGACUCGAAAACAGCUACAGAGGACAAUGUUUUACCAGAUGGAACUUUUGUUAAAAAGGGAACAAGAGUAAGUUAUCAUCCCUACGCAAUGGGGAGAGCAGAGGAACUAUGGGGAAGUGAUUGGAACAAGUUUAAACCAGAACGGUGGUUGGAUAAAGAUGAAGUUACUGGAAAUUGGAAUUUUGUUACUAAAGACAUGUAUACAUAUCCUGUUUUUCAGGCGGGGCCGAGGAUUUGUUUGGGGAAAGAAAUGGCGUUUUUGCAGAUGAAGAGGGUGGUUGCUGGUGUUUUACGGCGGUUCAAGGUGGUUCCGGUCACGGAAAAAGGGGUGGAACCGGUGUUUAUUUCAUACCUCACGGCGAAAAUGAAAGGUGGUUUCCAUGUGACAAUUGAGGAAAGGGACCAUGAGUAGUGUUGUUAUUUUUCUACUUGUCUUAAACUAUUUUGGAUGGAUAAAAAAUUACUUUUAAUUAUGAAUAUAAUAAGAAUAUCUGG
RNAcentral lists this unclassified non-coding RNA (1619 nucleotides) under Hevea brasiliensis (rubber tree). The record is from RNAcentral. Lineage: Eukaryota; Viridiplantae; Streptophyta; Magnoliopsida; Malpighiales; Euphorbiaceae.